RNAcentral lists this long non-coding RNA (6911 nucleotides) under Capsicum annuum. RNAcentral's name for it is "long non-coding RNA (CANN_LNC015250)". The record is from RNAcentral. Lineage: Eukaryota; Viridiplantae; Streptophyta; Magnoliopsida; Solanales; Solanaceae.
AAAAAAGUUACAGGAACGGCUAUUGUGACCCUCAUUCCCUCAUCGUCCACAACGAUUUGUGCUUGAUGAAAGACUUUCACUUGAUUUCUUCUUCCUCCCUUUUCUAUUUCGAUUGUCUUUUAUAUAUCGGUGUAUCAUCGAAGGAUAUAGCUGAAAUAAAAAAACUAAAUAUAAUUAGUAUAUCUAAUAUUUUAGAACUUUUUUAGUACACAUAUAUGUUUAUAUAUACAUAGUUCGGUUAUGUAUAUAUUGGUAUAAAUAUUUACAAUACAUAACAAGUUGUUUUCUAUGUGUUUUCAUAUACAUAAUAACAUAUAUUUUGUAUAUCAACAUAUACUGAUGAUAUGUAUAUGUUGUCCUUGAAUAAAAAUUGUUAACAAUAAAGAUUGUUUUUGAAUAAUUAUAUAUAUGGUGUGUUGAAAAAAAAUCAGACAAAUAUAUAUAGAGCUGAAUUUUGCAAAUAUACAUCUCUGACUACAAUUUUUUUCACCUUUUACAAAAUGAGAACAAAAAAACAAAGAUAAAUAUACAUAAAUAAAGUCAAGAAAAAAAAGCAGGCAUUAAGGAGAGAAUAUACGCAAUAAUGAAUGGGAGAUAAACUAGAAAAUAGAGGAAAAACAAUAAAGAAGCAACGAAGAAGAAACUACAACAAGACGAAGCUAUACACACAAACAAAAAUUCAUACAUCAAAAAAGUUAGAAAAAAAAAAAAAAACAACGAACAGAAAGAUUCUUUUUCCUUUCUUCUUUGCCAUGGAUAGCAGUAGUAACAGAAUAGAGGAAUUUCUCCAUUAACACAAAAAUCUACACCCAUUAAGUUAUGCAUAUCUUGGGAUUUAUGUUAUUUAUAUGGAAUUCCUCAAUCUCUAAUCCAGCCACAAUUGCAUAUAUCAACCUCUAACACGAAAUAUUUCCAACAAUAAUUUCGAUACUUUUUGUAUCGUUCUUGUUGUAUUUUCAGAUUAUCAUACACCUAAAUGCUUCCAAAAGAAUUGCAAUAUUCAUCUUCUUGAAUAAAAAAAAUUGGUUUUUUUUUUGCAAGAGAUGAUAAAUCAGUGAUUAGAUUGUUUGUGAUUUCUAUUUUUUGAUUGAUUUUUUUGUUUAUGUAUUGUUGUUUCAAAAUUUGAAAUAGUAUAGUUGUUACACAAAUUAAGGGAUGCAGUAAUCCAAUAUUAAUGUUGUUGAGUUAAUUGCAUGCUAAAUAGAAGGCAGAUCAGUUAAUUUCCUAUUAAAAUUUCAUAAUUAGAUUUUCAUAUACAUAGGGUCUUACGUAUAUAACAGCUGAAUUAUGUAUAUUAAUCGGGAGUGAGAAUAAAUUAAUUAAGAAGAUGGGAGAAAAGGUAAAUAUAUUUAAUGGGUUGGGAUUUAUGUUAUUUAUACUUGCUUUAAAUAUAUUACGAAAGGUCGGCCCAUAUUUGGCUAGAAAAGCCUUAACUGUCCUCUUACAACUAAAAGAAGAAUGUGAGAAGAAAUAGAAAAACACACACACAUAUAUAUAUAUAUAUAUGUAUAUAUAAAAAAAAAGUGAGGAUGGCUAAAUUUGGUUAUCCCAACAGUGAAUAUAAUAUAUUAAACUUAUUAUUUUAGUACAAAUUGCUAUACGAGGACUUAUUCUCAUUUUACAUUCAUUUUUCUUUUUGAAUUCAUUUCUAAGUGGGAUCUCGAAUUCGUGUAUUAUAAACUUGCAUGAACGCGGAAUCGAAUCAACACACAAUGAAAAAUGCUAGAAAUCCAAAGAGAGAAAAUGAGAGAAGAAAUCUGCAUUUCUGAUAUAACAAGAAAGAAUGGGUAGAAGUGUAAUUGAUUCCCAAGUGUAUCAUAAAUAUAUAUAUAUAUAUAUAUAUAUAUAUAUAUAUAAGCGCAAUUAAAACAUAAGAAACUAAGGUGGAUCGAAUUGAUACUUGGGCUCAAUUGACUGUACAAGCCCAUUCCUAACAUCCCCCUCAAGCUGGAACUCAAACCAAGCUUGGAAACCAGACUCUUGUGCUAGACACUAGUUAGCGGCUUGGUGAGAAGAUCAACCAGCUGCAAGGAAGUAGGGACGUACUGCAAUGAGAUCAAACCAGCUUUCAAUUUUUUCCAUACAAAGUGACAAUCGAUUUUGAUGUGUUUGGCGUAUUCAUGAUAAACCAGAUUCUUUGCAAUGUACAAAGCAACUUGAUUGUCACAAAGAACCUGUACAAGAGACAAAUGUGAGACACCAAAUUCAGCAAUCAACCAACCAACCAAGAAAUUUCUCCCACGAUUUUUCGAAGAGCCCUAUAUUCCACCGCGGCUAAAAAAAAGCAAUUGCGGGCUGCUUCUUGGAUUUUCAAGAAAUAGGGAGCCACCAAUAAAAUAUAGAAGCCGGUGAUAUAUCUUCUAGUUUGAAUACAACCAGCCCAGUCAGAGUCACACAAGCCAAUAAGUGAAAAAUCAGCAGAAGUCAGCUAGGUAACAUAGGACAUGAAAAUCAGUCUCUAAAUGAGGCAUACAAGGGGUGAAGAAACUAGCUGAGAUAUUGAUUAGUAAAUGAGAUAUUGAGUUGCGUAUGCUACAAAUAAUUAAGUUUUCUAACCAACUUUUGAUAUAUGCUAGGAUCAAGGCAAGGAGUACCAACAUUACCAGAUAAUUUGCCACAUAGUUUCAAAGGACUAACCACUGGAGAAGCAUCAGAACACUGAAGUUCAGAUCUUAAGUGAAUUUAUAUUGAGUCACAAGUAGCCCGAAAGGCUGACGAAUAAUAUUUUCAAACAAAGAAAAUAAUAUGCCUCACCCAAAUCCUUGAUUUUAAAACUAUCACCAAAAAAUAUUUCAAGGAAGAAUUUGGGUGGAAUCAUUGCCAACAAGAAAAAUAUCAUUCACAUACACAACAACUAUAGUGAUAAAAUUCCUAGCAGAUUUGGUAAAAUAGAGAAUGAUCAUUUGGACUGAAAAUGAACCCUUUGGACUGUAAAGCUUGGGAUAGUUUAGCAUACCACCGUCGAGAACCUUGUUUCAGUCUAAUAAAUGGAUUUUUUGAGCUUUCAUACAAGAGGACCAGAAGAAGAAUUGAAAUGGGGAACUUGUAAGCCUUACGAAAUCUUCAUGUACACUUCAUCUAAAAGAUCCCUAUGAAGGAGCCAUUAUUAACAUUAAGCUAAAAUAAUUUUUUGUUCUUCUUAUCAGCCACAACAAGAAGGCAUUUAAUGGUAGACAUUUUGACUACAAGAGUGAAAGUGUUAUUGUAAUCAACCCCUUCAAGUUAAUUAUCUCCAUGAAUGACCAACCUAACUUUGUAUUUCUCAAUAGAACCAUCAACUCACUAUUUAAUCUAAUAAAACUAUUUAGACGGUAUGGCCCUCUUGCCCGAAGGUAAAGGGAUAAUGUCCCAAGUCUUGAUUAGCCUAUAAAGUAGCAAAAUUCCUGCAGUAUAGCCUGCUUCUAGGUAGGGUGACCAACAACUUAUUUAUAAUAUUGUGGCUCAAGCAUGCCACUUUUACUAGAAGGACAAGAGUUGGUACUAGAAACAGAGCAACAAAUAUUGUCUUGAAGAUAUGAAGGUGUGGAAUAGUCCUAGAGGAUUUUAUAGGCUGAGGUGGAACUAGAGAAGAGGACGAAAUAACAGAAACAGAAUAAUAAAUAGAAAGAUGAGUGGAAAAAGGAAAUAGAGGAAUAGACGGGGGAUAAGCAUAAUGGGAAACUGAUUCAUGAAAGAGGACACUCCCAGAGAAAACACCUUGUGAGAGGAAAAAAAUAAUAAUUUGUAACCCUUGUUUCUUACAUAAUAGCCAAGAAAGAUAAGAAAAGAAUUUGGAUUGAAAUUUGUCUCUUUGAGGGAUAGGAACAGUGGUAUGGCAUAGACAUCAGAUGCCUUGAGAUGAGAAUAAGAGGGAAGAGUACCACGGAUAAGUUUAAUGGAGUUUUGUUGUGUAGUAGAGGAGAAGGAUAUCGGUUAAUAAGGAAGGUAUCAGUGAGAACAUUCACCUUGAUACUUGACGGGAAGUUUGGAUUGAAAAAGAAAAGCCCGGAAGGUCUCUAACAAAUGUUUGUGCUUUCUUUCCACUAUCCCAUUUUGUUGUAGAGUGUAGGGACAUGACGAUGAAAAAUACCAUAGGAAAAGAAAUAUUGGAUGGCUUCACUGCUAGAACCUAUUUCAAAAGCAUUAUUGUAUCUAAUUGUCUGAAUGUUUACCUUAAACUGAUUUUGAACAAAGAAAAACAAAGACUUAAUCAUAGUGAAAGCGUUGGACUUAGUGGCUAAAACGUGAGUCCAUGUGCAUCUAGUGUAGUCAUCUAUAAUAGUUAGGAAAUACUUGAAUCCAUUGUAUGUUUGGGUAUGAUAAAGGCCCCAAAGAUCAAGAUGUAUCAUGUGAAAAGAUUUGGUGGAAUGAAUAGAACUUUCGCGAAAUAGUAACCUCUAUUGUCUUGCCAUAGGACAUACAAAACAGUGGAAUGUUUACUUGGCAGGUAAAACAGAUUUAAGAAAAGGGAUAGCUUUUGUUUUAGCAAUGGUAUAUGUCCUAACCUUUAAUUCUAGGCCAAAUUAGGACUGGCAGCAUUAGUGGGACCAAGAGAGGUCAUACAAAAAUAAUCAUGAACAUGCAAAGAACUGAUAGAAUUAGUGAAAGAAACAAAAGAAAAACCAUCAAAAGGCAGAAGUAACAGAAUUGAGUUCAAUAGGAGGAACAAUAGUACUAUAUACAUUGUUAUCAUAAAUUUCAGUAGAAAUAGAAAAAGAAAAAUCUGUGGCUUUAGUUGAAAUUAGAGGAGAAUCAAUGCUUAAGACAGAGAAAUUGGAUGUAGUAAACUGGGAAGGGGUAGUUGGUGAUGGAUGGGAGCCAUUCAGCUGAAGCAUACAAAGUCCAUUGGAGAGUUUACUAACUUUCAGUUGUCUCUUCAGUGAAUGUCCAUGUAAAACAGAAGAAGUAGAACUAAACUGAGUUGUACAAUUAAAUUGAAGCAGAAGCUUAUGAAGAGAUAUGAAGUUAUAUUGAAAACUUGGUACUAAUAAAACAUGAUGCAAAGAUAGAUAAUAAUGCAAAGGCCAAUGAUCGGUGCAUGUGACUAUAACCUCUGUAACCAUUGGGAAGAGAGAUUAAAUAAGGUGUAAAAAGAGGUUUAGUAUUGAUUAAAAGGUGUUUGUGAGGAUUCAUGUGGUUGAUGGCUCCAAAAUCUAAGAUCCAAGGAUUGUUAUAUAUCUGGGAAAGGUGACAGAAAGAGAAACAACAUAUAUUAAAUUUAGAAAGACUAGUCAUGCCUACAAAUAUGGUUGAGGCACGCAUUCCAGAAUCAUGCAACCUAUUCUACCGCGUCAUAGUGAGAAGAUGAUCAUGUUGCUCUUUGUUGAAUCCAUGCAGAUCAUCAGAGGGAUGAAGAGAUGAAGUAGAAGGUUGUGAUUGUGAAUGAGCAAAUGGAUAAGUAGGACCUGAUCUAGGUAAGAAAUUAGUUGAUUGAACACAAGCAAUAAUCUUCUUAUCCCUUCUGAACUGAUACAAAGGAUGAUACCCAAAUAACUUGUGACAUUUUAGUACAGAGUGACCAAGUUUCUUCCAAUAUUUGCAAAAUAGUCCCGAAGUACCUUGACCCUGAUUCUGCUAGAAAUUGAGUCUUUGUUGUCAAAAUUCUUAUUGUCAAAACCCAUAUUAGAAUUCCUAUUAUCAAAAUUCAUUCUUAGCCUAUUCUCAAAAUCCACAUUCGAAGGAUAGGGUUUACGACUAGAAGGGCCAGUAAUAGAAAAGGAAACAGAUUUAGAUACAAAUGAAGGAAGAAAUGAUUGAAGCUCAGAGUGUUGUUCAUUAUGAAUCAACAUAGAGUAUACACUAUCUAAAUCUUGAAGAGGUUUAAUCAUUAAUAUAAUUCUACUAAUUCCAAUAUAAGAGUCAUUAAACCAGCUAAGAACUGAUGAACUCUCUAUUCUCCCUUUAGCAUAGACCAUUCCUCCUUACUACUACAAGUACGUGGAGGAUAAAUAGUAGAGAUGGUCAGCUUAUACCGCAAUUUUUUUAAUACGAUUGAAAUAGGAUGCUAUGCUAGAAGAACCUUGAGUUACUGUGGAGAUAUCUUUCCUAAGUUGGAACACCUUGGUUUCACUAGAAUGACAUAUUGGUUUUCAAUCUCGUGCUGAAUUUGUUCAGCAGUUUCGGUGUGAAAAUAAUUUCAGCAAUAUCUUUAUCAAGAUUAUUAAGAAUCCAUGCAAUUACCAUAUCCUUACACAUAAUCCAAGCAUUAUAUAAUGCAUCAGUAGCACGUGCUUUAUGAUGUUUACCAUUUAUGAACCCUAAUUUCUGAUUUGCAGAUAAGUAAAUAAGCAUUCCUCUCUUCCAACUACCAUAUCCAAACCCAUUGAAUGAUGUGGCAACCAAAACCAAACUAGGAUAGUCAGAGAGAUCGAGGUAAAAGGUUGAGUGGAAUCUAUCUGUCCACUCGAACCAGCUGAACCAGUUGAAGACAUUUUACAUAGUAUAGAAACAAUUACCACCAAAAAUCACAAAGUGAAUAGGAAUCGUUACCAGCCUUCUUUACAACUCAACGAAGUAAGAGCCUUGUGCACCAAAUACAAGAAAUCAUCACCAUCGAAAACCUUCUUGAAACCAUCAAAAGGAAUAUCAAUGCGAAAAUCAUCAAAAACCACCUUGAAAGCUAUUGAAAAUCACAGAAAACUGCAGAAUCGAAGUACUCUAAGAAAAAACACUUCAAAAAAAAAAUACCAAAAUAACGCUAGGAAAAAUGUAAAAAUCAGCUUGGUCUAUAAAAUCUCAAUGAAAAUAUUCAAAGGUAACACCUUUCAAAAGAGGAGGAGAAGAUUUAUCAGGAUCUCUGCUCUAAUACCAUAUAAACUUGCAUGAAUACAGAAUCAAAUCAAAAUACAUAACGGAAAACCCUAGAAAUUCAGAGAGAGAAAAUGAGAGGAAAAAACUGCAUUUCUAACGUAAAUUGAAAGAAUGGGCAAAAG